UCCUACGGCUAUACCACCCUGAACGCGCCCGACCUCAUCUGAUCUCGGAACUUGAGGGCGUCUUAUUAGCACUGAGGUCUACACUAUGAGAAAGAAAAAAUACAGAAAAUCCCCUUUUGGGACUGGAGCAGUAGUAC
RNAcentral lists this ribosomal RNA (137 nucleotides) under Sorex araneus (European shrew). The record is from RNAcentral. Lineage: Eukaryota; Metazoa; Chordata; Mammalia; Eulipotyphla; Soricidae.